UACGUAGGGGGCAAGCGUUGUCCGGAUUUAUUGGGCGUAAAGCGCGUGUAGGCGGCUUGGUAGGUCCGCUGUGAAAACUCCUGGCUCAACUGGGAGCUUGCAGGCGAAACUGCCGUGCUGGAGUGUGGGAGAGGUGCGUGGAAUUCCUGGUGUAGCGGUGAAAUGCGUAGAUAUCAGGAGGAACACCUGUGGCGAAAGCGGCGCACUGGACCACAACUGACGCUGAGGCGCGAAAGCUAGGGGAGCAAACAGG
This 253-nucleotide ribosomal RNA is filed under the name uncultured bacterium. RNAcentral's name for it is "partial 16S ribosomal RNA". It matches the Rfam family "Bacterial small subunit ribosomal RNA", at positions 524 to 776 of the family's 1533-position model. The record is from RNAcentral.